This 496-nucleotide ribosomal RNA is filed under the name uncultured bacterium. RNAcentral describes it as "partial 16S ribosomal RNA". It matches the Rfam family "Bacterial small subunit ribosomal RNA", at positions 30 to 523 of the family's 1533-position model. The record is from RNAcentral.
AUUGAACGCUGGCGGAAUGCUUUACACAUGCAAGUCGAACGGUAGAGGGGGCAACCCCUCGAGAGUGGCGAACGGGUGAGUAAUAUAUCGGAACGUGCCCAGUCGUGGGGGAUAACGUAGCGAAAGUUACGCUAAUACCGCAUACGAUCUAAGGAUGAAAGCGGGGGAUCGCAAGACCUCGCGCGAUUGGAGCGGCCGAUAUCAGAUUAGGUAGUUGGUGGGGUAAAGGCUCACCAAGCCAACGAUCUGUAGCUGGUCUGAGAGGACGACCAACCACACUGGAACUGUGACACGGUCCAGACUCCUACGGGAGGCAGCAGUGGGGAAUUUUGGACUAUGGACGCAAGUCUGAUCCCGCCAUUCCGCGUGAAGGAUGAAGGCCCUCGGGUUGUAAACUGCUUUUGUACGGAACGAAAAGGUCUCUCUUAAUACGGGGGGCUCAUGACGGUACCGUAAGAAUAAGCACCGGCUAACUACGUGCCAGCAGCCGCGGUAA